This 546-nucleotide ribosomal RNA is filed under the name Phaeocyclotomus sp. UPOL001214. RNAcentral's name for it is "partial 16S ribosomal RNA". It matches the Rfam family "Bacterial large subunit ribosomal RNA", at positions 1802 to 2619 of the family's 2925-position model. Lineage: Eukaryota; Metazoa; Arthropoda; Insecta; Coleoptera; Cleridae. The record is from RNAcentral.
GUUAACAAAAACAUGUCCUUUUGAUUAUAAUUUAAGGUCUAAUCUGCCCACUGAAGAUUUAAAUGGCCGCGGUAUUUUGACCGUGCAAAGGUAGCAUAAUAAUUAGUUUCUUAAUUAGAAGCUGGAAUGAAAGAUUGAAUGAGAAAAUAACUGUCUCAAAUUAAAUUUUUUAGAAUUUUAUUUUUAAGUUAAAAAGCUUAAAUAUAGUUAAAAGACGAGAAGACCCUAUAGAGUUUUAUUUAAUAUUUUUUUAAGUAGGUAUAAAUUUAAUUAUUAUUUUUGAAAGUACUAAAUUUUGUUGGGGUGACAGAAAAAUUUAUUAAACUUUUUUUAUAUUUGAACAUUGAUUUAUGAUUGAUUGAUCCAAAUUUUUUUGAUUAUAAGAUAAAAUUACCUUAGGGAUAACAGCGUAAUUUUUUUUGAGAGUUCUUAUCGAAAAAAGAGAUUGCGACCUCGAUGUUGGAUUAAAGUUAAAUUUUGGUGUAGAAGCUAAAAAUUUAGGUCUGUUCGACCUUUAAAACUUUACAUGAUCUGAGUUCAGACCGG